This 478-nucleotide ribosomal RNA is filed under the name uncultured bacterium. RNAcentral's name for it is "partial 16S ribosomal RNA". It matches the Rfam family "Bacterial small subunit ribosomal RNA", at positions 28 to 523 of the family's 1533-position model. The record is from RNAcentral.
GACGAACGCUGGCGGCGUGCUUAACACAUGCAAGUCGAACGGUAAGGCCCUUCGGGGUACACGAGUGGCGAACGGGUGAGUAACACGUGGGUGAUCUGCCCUGCACUUCGGGAUAAGCCUGGGAAACUGGGUCUAAUACCGGAUAGGACUCCGGACUGCAUGGUCUGGGGUGGAAAGCUUUUGCGGUGUGGGAUGGGCCCGCGGCCUAUCAGCUUGUUGGUGGGGUGAUGGCCUACCAAGGCGACGACGGGUAGCCGGCCUGAGAGGGUGACCGGCCACACUGGGACUGAGAUACGGCCCAGACUCCUACGGGAGGCAGCAGUGGGGAAGAGUGCACAAUGGGCGCAAGCCUGAUGCAGCGACGCCGCGUGAGGGAUGACGGCCUUCGGGUUGUAAACCUCUUUCAGCAUCGACGAAGCGAAAGUGACGGUAGGUGCAGAAGAAGGACCGGCCAACUACGUGCCAGCCGCCGCAGUAA